GAUUACCAGAAUAGUUAAUGCAAAAGGAACGAGUGCAAGGCGUGGGUUGGUGAGAGGGUGGGUUAGGAUAUUAUGGCCUUACCUUAGUUGUGUACCAAGACACUUCAAUUUUUUCAGGUAAUCAGGUUAUCAAAGGUAAGAAGAACAACUCCACUUGGUACUGGCUUUUGAUUUAUAUAUUUAGGAAAUUUGAAAAUUGAUACUACACCCUGUUCUUUUCAAUGUUCAAUGAUUUCAUCGUCUGGUAUUUCAUUAAGACAUGGUGCGUAAAUUGUUCCUUUCGUGUAGUUGUGGAGUUUUAUUUCUACAUUGCAUAUGCAAUGUAAUUUUUUUGUUUUUAUGAAUUUUUGGGCUAUGUUGUUGUUUUUUACAAUCGUUAAUGGGAAUUCCGUGGGUUUUUUUUUUCGAUGUAGGGCUUGUUGAUAUCAGGGUGAACCUGUUAUCACCAAGAGAGUGUCCCCCAGGGGGCAUAUCUCUUAAAGUUCCCUGUACUAUAAUACAAACACUCUUUAACACGUGCUUUAAUAAGUCCUUGAAGUUAGAACGCACUCACGAAAAAGAAAGUGUGGGAAUAUCACCAAUAGCACAAAACACAACAAUUCGCUUUGAGUAUCAGUCGAUGAUUGAGCAUUGUAUAUACAAUAUAAUAGGAGUUAGUUGCAUUAUGCUGAGCUGUGAAGUGACAACACACAUGGCGUGAUGCGGUUUGGCGACCACUGGCAGGGUUCCAAGCUGCGCAGCAAAGCUGACACUAUUAUUGGUGGAAUUGGUGGCAGUAUGCAUACAUACAUAGCUACAACACUAUUGGCCGUAGUUGAUUGCAACAUCUGUUUACCGUUCCACAACGUAAAUAUGCACGUCAAAUUGUAUACGUAUAUGGAGUAAGUAGCAUAUAGAGGGACUGGGUGAAUGCGGAGUGGCUGUACUAUUACCGAGUUGAACGAUAUGAAAUUUGUUUGCGGAUAAUUACUCCUACGAAAAUGUGUAUUCGUGUGGUUCGUUGUGUGCUUCCAUGGGGUAUACUGAAUGUAACCGCGAUGAACCUAUGCAAACGGACGCACAAUUUAAGUGAGAACUUGACGUAAAGUUGCCGGUAUACCAUAUUUAGGGAUGCCACGUCGGCGUUAACGCUGAGCGGUUGUGAUAUUUAGCACAAAAAAAACCAAAUGCGCUUGCAAUAGCCAAGUAAAUGUGAGUCAAUGUCAGCCAGCAUGAAUGAACGACGAUUAUUCUGUUACUUUCGAGCGAGUUUGUUGUAAAAGAUGUUUUUAUGAAAUGGUUUUGAUUUGAUGGUUUGGAAUUAAAUAAGGUAAGCCAGUGGAAUCGGGGUUUAAGGCUUGGUGCAUUUUUGCUUAUUGUACUCACCGGGCAAAAAGCACUUGGAUAUCGGCUUGAUCGCUUCUCACUUCUCUAAAAGUCAAUUUGGAACUGUGAGCCCACACACUAAGAGCUUCUGUAAGUACUCUGCGAACCUGUGGGGCAUUCUCCAUUGUCCAAUUCACCAAACUGUAAAGAAAGUAAAAAAUUAAUAAAUAAAAGUAUUAAUAAAAAAGUAAAUAAAACAAA
This is a long non-coding RNA of Bactrocera oleae (olive fruit fly), 1566 nucleotides long. RefSeq lists it as uncharacterized. The record is from RefSeq and is a predicted model, not a curated record. Lineage: Eukaryota; Metazoa; Arthropoda; Insecta; Diptera; Tephritidae.